Molecule: ribosomal RNA, 504 nt
Filed under: Triticum aestivum (bread wheat)
Lineage: Eukaryota; Viridiplantae; Streptophyta; Magnoliopsida; Poales; Poaceae
Description: partial small subunit ribosomal RNA
Source: RNAcentral
AUGGUUGGGGGUUCACUUUAUUGGUUGCUCACUGAGAACUUAAGCAUCCUUGAAUUUGAUCUGGAGAAGCAGCGCCUCGCUGUGAUAUCGGUGCCGGUGAAAAAGUACAGCCACUGCCGCUUCUCGAUUAUGCGGGCGGCGGGUGGUGGCCUUGGUUUCCUGUUUUUGCCAGACUACGACGCCCAAUUAUGGAAGAGGCACACUGAUUGUGAUGGUGUCGCUUCAUGGGUGCUUGAAAGAACUAUUGAACUGCACAAGCUACUUUCCAUGAAUUCAGAGGAGGGGAGAGGGCCCCUGAUGAUCGCAGGGUUUGCUGAGUACAAUAAUGUGGUCUUUUUGUGGACAGUCGUCGACCUCUUCAUGGUGGAGCUUCAGUCACUGAAGUUCAAGAAACUUUUCGAAGCCGACGUCUUGUCUUGCCGUCAUCCAUUCGAAAGUGUCUAUGUUGCAGAAAGAGGCACUGUUGGUGGACACAAUGGAGCUGAACUUUUGCGUAAUGAAUAA